Molecule: ribosomal RNA, 482 nt
Filed under: uncultured bacterium
Lineage: Bacteria
Description: partial 16S ribosomal RNA
Rfam family: Bacterial small subunit ribosomal RNA
Source: RNAcentral
GAUGAACGCUGGCGGCGUGCCUAAUACAUGCAAGUCGAACGCUUCACUUCGGUGAAGAGUGGCUAACGGGUGAGCAAUACAUAAGUAACCUGGCAUCUACAGGGGGCUAACUGAUGGAAACGUCAGCUAAGACCGCAUAGGUGUAGAGAUCGCAUGAACUCUAUCUGAAAAGUGCUACGGGACUGGCAGAUGAUGGACUUAUGGCGCAUUAGCUUGUUGGUGGGGUAACGGCCUUCCAAGGCGACGAUGCGUAGCCGAACUGAGAGGGGGACGGGCCACACGGGGAGUGGGACGGGGACAAGGCUCCUGCGAGAGGGAGCAGUCGGGAAUUUUAGGCAGUGGGGGAAACUCUGACAGAGCGACGCCGCGUGAAGGAAGAAGUAACUCGUUACGGAAAGAUCUGUCAUGGGUGAAGAACGGUGGACAUAGGGAAUGAUGUCCGAGUGACGGUAAUGGAUAAGAAAGCCACGGCUAACUACGUG